Long non-coding RNA from Stegodyphus dumicola, 422 nucleotides. RefSeq lists it as uncharacterized. Lineage: Eukaryota; Metazoa; Arthropoda; Arachnida; Araneae; Eresidae. The record is from RefSeq and is a predicted model, not a curated record.
CGAAUGCCAUAUUUUUGUCUUACGACUAUGCGACAUGAACAACAGCAUGUCGUUAAAGGACUUUGAUUUAAAGCAUUUUGGGAAGGAACCGUGAAGCAGUUACGAUAAGAAAAAUUAGCCGUAUUCUGAUUGACGACCAGGAGAACAGGCAUAAAGAAGAAAAUGUGUUAGAAAUAAUAAAAAAGAGGAAUGCAGAGAAUAUAUGGAAGGUGGCAACACAGACUUUAGCUGACUGUGUUAGACACACAAGCAGAGAGACAGAGCACCAUAAAAAAUGCUAAUGCUAUCCAUUAUAAGGACCUCUGCCAGUAUUUGAAUUCAUCGAGUGUGUCUAAAAAUAUCAUUGUUUGGAUGAUGUUAUUAUUUAUCAUCGGACUUAAUGCCAUUGUUUUUUGAAAAUCAAAUAAAAAUGCAUAAAAGUA